AUUGAACGCUGGCGGCAGGCCUAACACAUGCAAGUCGAGCGGAUGAAGGGAGCUUGCUCCUGGAUUCAGCGGCGGACGGGUGAGUAAUGCCUAGGAGUCUGCCUGGUAAUGGGGGAUAACGUCCGGAAACGGGCGCUAAUACCGCAUACGUCCUGAGGGAGAAAGUGGGGGAUCUUCGGACCUCACGCUAUCAGAUGAGCCUAGGUCGGAUUAGCUAGUUGGUGGGGUAAAGGCCUACCAAGGCGACGAUCCGUAACUGGUCUGAGAGGAUGAUCAGUCACACUGGAACUGAGACACGGUCCAGACUCCUACGGGAGGCAGCAGUGGGGAAUAUUGGACAAUGGGCGAAAGCCUGAUCCAGCCAUGCCGCGUGUGUGAAGAAGGUCUUCGGAUUGUAAAGCACUUUAAGUUGGGAGGAAGGGCAGUAAGUUAAUACCUUGCUGUUUUGACGUUACCAACAGAAUAAGCACCGGCUAACUUCGUG
This 484-nucleotide ribosomal RNA is filed under the name uncultured bacterium. RNAcentral's name for it is "partial 16S ribosomal RNA". It matches the Rfam family "Bacterial small subunit ribosomal RNA", at positions 30 to 507 of the family's 1533-position model. The record is from RNAcentral.